GACGAACGCUGGCGGCGUGCUUAACACAUGCAAGUCGAACGGAAAGGCCCUGCUUUUGUGGGGUGCUCGAGUGGCGAACGGGUGAGUAACACGUGAGUAACCUGCCCUUGACUUUGGGAUAACUUCAGGAAACUGGGGCUAAUACCGGAUAGGAGCUCCUGCUGCAUGGUGGGGGUUGGAAAGUUUCGGCGGCUGGGGAUGGACUCGCGGCUUAUCAGCUUGUUGGUGGGGUAGUGGCUUACCAAGGCUUUGACGGGUAGCCGGCCUGAGAGGGUGACCGGCCACAUUGGGACUGAGAUACGGCCCAGACUCCUACGGGAGGCAGCAGUGGGGAAUAUUGCACAAUGGGCGGAAGCCUGAUGCAGCAACGCCGCGUGCGGGAUGACGGCCUUCGGGUUGUAAACCGCUUUCGCCUGUGACGAAGCGUGAGUGACGGUAAUGGGUAAAGAAGCACCGGCUAACUACGUGCCAGCAGCCGCGGUGAUACGUAGGGUGCGAGCGUUGUCCGGAUUUAUUGGGCGUAAAGGGCUCGUAGGUGGUUGAUCGCGUCGGAAGUGUAAUCUUGGGGCUUAACCCUGAGCGUGCUUUCGAUACGGGUUGACUUGAGGAAGGUAGGGGAGAAUGGAAUUCCUGGUGGAGCGGUGGAAUGCGCAGAUAUCAGGAGGAACACCAGUGGCGAAGGCGGUUCUCUGGGCCUUUCCUGACGCUGAGGAGCGAAAGCGUGGGGAGCGAACAGGCUUAGAUACCCUGGUAGUCCACGCUGUAAACGGUGGGUACUAGGUGUGGGGUCCAUUCCACGGGUUCCGUGCCGUAGCUAACGCUUUAAGUACCCCGCCUGGGGAGUACGGCCGCAAGGCUAAAACUCAAAGGAAUUGACGGGGCCCCGCACAAGCGGCGGAGCAUGCGGAUUAAUUCGAUGCAACGCGUAGAACCUUACCUGGGUUUGACAUGGAUCGGGAGUGCUCAGAGAUGGGUGUGCCUCUUUUGGGGUCGGUUCACAGGUGGUGCAUGGCUGUCGUCAGCUCGUGUCGUGAGAUGUUGGGUUAAGUCCCGCAACGAGCGCAACCCUUGUUCACUGUUGCCAGCACGUUAUGGUGGGGACUCAGUGGAGACCGCCGGGGUCAACUCGGAGGAAGGUGGGGAUGACGUCAAGUCAUCAUGCCCCUUAUGUCCAGGGCUUCACGCAUGCUACAAUGGCUGGUACAGAGAGUGGCGAGCCUGUGAGGGUGAGCGAAUCUCGGAAAGUCGGUCUCAGUUCGGAUUGGGGUCUGCAACUCGACCUCAUGAAGUCGGAGUCGCUAGUAAUCGCAGAUCAGCAACGCUGCGGUGAAUACGUUCCCGGGGCUU
Molecule: ribosomal RNA, 1347 nt
Filed under: uncultured bacterium
Lineage: Bacteria
Description: partial 16S ribosomal RNA
Rfam family: Bacterial small subunit ribosomal RNA
Source: RNAcentral